GGCUGACGAGUGGCGNACGGGUGAGUAAUGUAUAGUUAAUUUGCCUCUUAGAUAGGGAUAGCCAUUGGAAACGAUGAUUAAUACCUAAUAUACCUGUUAUUGUAGUGAUAACAGGGAAAUGCUUUAUUGUGCUAAGAGAUAAGACUAUAUGGUAUCAGGUAGUUGGUGGGGUAAGAGCCUACCAAGCCAAUGACGCCUAGCUGGUCUGAGAGGAUGAUCAGCCACACUGGAACUGAGACACGGUCCAGACUCCUACGGGAGGCAGCAGUGGGGAAUAUUGCACAAUGGAGGAAACUCUGAUGCAGCAACGCCGCGUGGAGGAUGACGCAUUUCGGUGUGAAUCCCG
RNAcentral lists this ribosomal RNA (346 nucleotides) under uncultured bacterium. RNAcentral describes it as "bacterial SSU rRNA". It matches the Rfam family "Bacterial small subunit ribosomal RNA", at positions 86 to 434 of the family's 1533-position model. The record is from RNAcentral.